Molecule: long non-coding RNA, 1991 nt
Organism: Heterocephalus glaber (naked mole-rat)
Lineage: Eukaryota; Metazoa; Chordata; Mammalia; Rodentia; Bathyergidae
Source: RefSeq, a predicted model, not a curated record
UCUCAUUUCUUGCUUAGGUCCUUGGUCUUUCUUCCUGAGGCAAAGCAUACAGAGAUUAGCUUCAAGUGCUCAGUCCCUGAGUCAGACUUCUGACUCACAAGAGUCACACAUUCAUGAAAAUGUGGAGCUCAAAGGAGCCCCGGCCUCUAACAUAUGAAACACGACAGAGGCCUAGAGCCUCUAAUGGCUUGUCCAUGCCCACACAGAAAGCCUGUGGUGGAAUAAGAAGCAGAAAGCGUCUCUUCCCAAACACUAAGGCAAUGUCCUCAUGUAAAGUCACAAUGGAGAUGCAGUCACAAUGUGGCCCCAGGAUUCUGGGCACUGAGUGACGGGAAUCCCAGGUGGCCCAUGAGCUUGCUGGGCAGAGCAGAAGACAGCAUGGUGCUGGCACAGAACUGAUGAGAAAGGAGAAAGUACAAACAUGAAUGCUAAACAGCUCCUCAGCAACCAGGAAGUCGGUUCUCGGGCGGUGGGAAAGAACAAGGCAGGACAGCACAGUACCAAAAUAAAAGGCGCCAAGCAAGGGCCCCUGCACCACUCUUUCUGUGCCAGGAUCUGCACUGUCACACAGCUUCAAGAGGAGCCUCACUCCUUGGAAACAAGAGUGUCUCCUCUAAACUUGUUCCUUCUCAAAUCUCCUGGCAGAAGCCUUCUUAUUUUUUCAUAAUCACUUCAAAGUAGUCGUCAGUCAAGUACUAAAGUAAAUUCAAAGCAAUUAGAGAAUCUAUCUACAGCAAGCCCAAAAUGUGUUUGCAAUGGUCCUCCAGGAAGUGGUUUGGAACACUUUUCUCUAGAAUAGUACUUUUUGUGUACAAAAAAGAAGCUGCCCUUUUUUAGUGAAUAAACACAGACACACACACACACACGCACGCGCAUGUGUGUAGCAUACACACACAUCUACUAUGAUAAAUGGAAGCAACAUCUCAAGAAUGAAAUAUUGUAUUGUGGGUUCCAAGCCAAAACAAGUCAGCACCACUCCAGGAAGCACUUAUAAAUUGUUACAAAAAAAUACCAAGAAAUAGGAGCCUGCCCUAUAACAUAACAGCUGCAAGAUUUCAGGGCUCGGGACUAGCUUUUAAAAAGCAAGAAAAAAAUUAAAACUAUCAAACCCAGUGCUUCAAAUAUUCUGCUCAAUCUCCAGGGUGGUCUUGUGUUUCUAAUUAAUAUUCCCUCCUAAUUACCAUCCUGAUAGUAAGUGUGCUAAAUGCAAAACUUACGCCUCACUACAGAGCUCUGGCAGGGAGAGGAGGAAGGCAGCCUAGGAAGAAGGGUGGCCAGCUUCAUUGUGAUGCAAAAGAAUGCAACAAUUAAGAAUAUAAUUUUGGAAGAUGUCAGCAGCCUAAUUACUCAUAGGGCUUCCAGCAAAUUAAGCAGUAGGUGAAUUAGCUCAUUUAAUGAGAUCUAGAGUUCUGAGUCAAGUUGCUUUUACUUUGCAUUUGAGGAAUGCAUUUCCCCAUUACAUGUUAAUAAUUUGGGCACCCCAACAUGCUAUUAGCUCAACAGGUUCUGCAGAGCAUGAGAUACGAGUUGGGCUUUGGGAAGACAAAGACAUUUGCACAAAGGCUCAAAUGUGCCAUGACCUGGGAGCUGUCAGCACGCUCAGAAAGGGUGUGAAGAACAUCAGGCCAUUCCUCAGACUCUACCAGGGCCUUUCCCAUCUAUCACUGUGUUUCAUCCUAAUAAGCCUUUGAGGUAGAAGACCAUGAGCUCUAAGCUGCUUCACCUUCUCUUUUAACACAAAAUGAGGUUCACAGAGGCAAGACACCACAAUCCUGAAUAUACUAUCAAUUCUGAAUGGUCUGUCCAUUUGUGACAGAACAGGCAGCUUCCUCCUUCUUGACUUGUGAAUGUGGUGUCCUCCAAGGCCACUGCCUGAGGUGAACCCCAAAGAUGUAUCCCAACCAUGGCUCUCCACAGAAAGUUUCCCACCUACCAGCAGCUUUACCCACCAUGGUUAUUAUUUAAGGUGCAAUACACUGUCAUCUAUCGAA